Molecule: ribosomal RNA, 497 nt
Filed under: uncultured bacterium
Lineage: Bacteria
Description: partial 16S ribosomal RNA
Rfam family: Bacterial small subunit ribosomal RNA
Source: RNAcentral
GAUGAACGCUGGCGGCGUGCCUAAUACAUGCAAGUCGAGCGAACGGACGAGGCGCUUGCUUCUCGGAUGUUAGCCGCGCACGGGUGAGUAACACGUGGAUACCCUACCUAUAAGUCUGGGAUCACUUCGGAAAUCCGGAGCUAAUACCGGAGAAUAUUUUGAACCGCAUGGUUCAAAAGUGAAAGACGGUCUUGCUGUCAGUUCUAGCUGGAUCCGCGCUGCAUUAGCUAGUUGGUACGGUAACGGCUUACCAAGGCAACGAUGCGUAGCCGACCUGUGAGGGUGAUCGGCCACACUGGAACUGAAACACGGUCCAGACGCCUGCGAGAGGCAGCAGUAGGGAAUCUGCCGCAGUGGGCGGGAGCAUGGCGGAGCAACGCCGCGUGAGAGAUGAAAGUCUUCGGAUCGUAAAACUCUGUUACUAGGUAAAAACAUAUGUGGAAGUAACCGUGCACAGCGUGACGGUACCUAAUCAGAAAGCCACGGCUAACUACGUG